GAUGAACGCUGGCGGCGCGCCUAACACAUGCAAGUCGAACGAUUAAAGCACCUUCGGGUGUGUAUAAAGUGGCGAACGGCUGAGUAACACGUGGGCAACCUGCCCCUUUCAUUGGGAUAGCCACGGGAAACCGUGGAUAAUACCGAAUACUUCGAGACUUCCGCAUGGAAGACCCGAGAAAGCUCCGGCGGAGAGGGAUGGGCCCGCGGCCUGUUAGCUUGUUGGUGGGGUAACGGCCUACCAAGGCAAUGAUGGGUAGCUGGGUUGAGAGACCGACCAGCCAGAUUGGGACUGAGACACGGCCCAGACUCCUACGGGAGGCAGCAGUGGGGAAUCUUGCACAAUGGGCGAAAGCCUGAUGCAGCGACGCCGCGUGCGGGAUGAAGGCCUUCGGGUUGUAAACCGCUUUCAGCAGGGACGAGGCGAAAGUGACGGUACCUGCAGAAGAAGCCCCGGCUAACUACGUG
RNAcentral lists this ribosomal RNA (467 nucleotides) under uncultured bacterium. RNAcentral's name for it is "partial 16S ribosomal RNA". It matches the Rfam family "Bacterial small subunit ribosomal RNA", at positions 28 to 507 of the family's 1533-position model. The record is from RNAcentral.